UUAUAAUAAAGUGACGCAAAUAACUCUUUUGGCUUUAGGUUUUCUGCGUUUUUUUUACCUUAGUUUUUCUUCACAUGCGCCUACAUUCACUAAUCAAAAAGAAAAAAAACAAGAGUUCUUCAAUUCUAGUGAAUUUCUACAGCAAAACACCCACAAAUUCGUCUCUGAAAUCCAACAAAUUAGGCCAAAAAACUGCGAUUCCCCAGCAAAUUUAACAUCUAAAUUAAAAUUGCAGUCAAGUUGAAGCAAAUCCGAGCAAUUUCGAGCAAAAAUUUAGACCAAAAACCCCAAGAAAUUCGAACCCUUAGACCCAGAAAAAUUGAUUGUUUCCGACCAAAAAUCCCCCAUUUCGAGCAAAAAAUCAACUCAAACGCGUUUCAGAAUUAUAGGUUUGAUCCUCAGUUGUAUGUUCAGUCCAAAUACUCUCUUAAUGAGAAGGAUGCCAUUCAGCCAUUCCUCAUCAAGCUAACUGAGAAAUAUGAUAAAAAAAUUGUUCUUGAACCCCCAUAAAGAAUGAGUUAAUUAUUGGGGCUUUGAUCACUAGAGUUAGACAACUUCAACAGCUAAGUUUGGUCAUUGAUAAGCUAGGAAUGACAGGAGUAACAAGUUCAUUCGAUGUGAAGCUGUAGAAGGUACUGACAGCAAUAGAAAAAAAGAGAAAAGACAUGGAUUAGUAUAAGAUCUAAAUUCCAUGUAGUGUCCUCAACAAUUGGGUGGACGUGAGUGUGGCUACUACGUCAUGCGUUAUAUGUACGAAAUACUUGACAUCACCAUAGCAGUGAGGAUCUUAUUCAGGAUUUUUCAAGAACUACACCGUACACCGAGGAGGAGAUAAAUGAGAUUCGAGAUAUUUGGGCAGAGUAUUUUAUAUGUAAUGUUGAACUUUAGAUUUACACUUAGCGCAUGUUGGACUCUUGUUUUGGAUUAUAGGCUUGAAAUGAAUGAAUUUGGUUAAUUGGUGUUGGGAUGAUGAGUAUAAUGUCUAUGAUAUUGAGAUGUAAUUUAUUAGACAGGUUGUUAAUAUAAUUUCGUCAUUCCCAAUUUUACGGGUAGGCCAAA
Molecule: long non-coding RNA, 1059 nt
Organism: Chenopodium quinoa (quinoa)
Lineage: Eukaryota; Viridiplantae; Streptophyta; Magnoliopsida; Caryophyllales; Amaranthaceae
Exons: 3
Source: RefSeq, a predicted model, not a curated record